RNAcentral lists this ribosomal RNA (1290 nucleotides) under Triticum aestivum (bread wheat). RNAcentral's name for it is "partial small subunit ribosomal RNA". The record is from RNAcentral. Lineage: Eukaryota; Viridiplantae; Streptophyta; Magnoliopsida; Poales; Poaceae.
AUGGUUAGGAGUGUACCGAUUGGUGAGAAGCUCUUCAUAGGAGGAGACCUCAAUGGCCACGUGGGUACAUCUAACACAGGUUUUGAAGGGGCGCAUGGGGGCUUUGGCUAUGGCAUUAGGAAUCAAGAAGGAGAAGAUGUCUUAAGCUUUGCUCUAGCCUACAACAUGAUUGUAGCUAACACCCUCUUUAGAAAGAGAGAAUCACAUCUGGUGACUUUUAGUAGUGGCCAACACUCUAGCAAGAUUGAUUUCAUCCUCUCGAGAAGAGAAGAUAGGCGUGUGUGCCUAGACUGUAAGGUGAUACCUGGGGAGAGUGUUGUACCCCAGCAUAAGCUGGUGGUUGCUGACUUCCGCUUUCGGAUUCGUGUCCAGCGGGAUAAGCGUGCCAAGGUCGCUAGAACGAAGUGGUGGAAGCUCAAGGGGGAGGUAGCUCAGGUGUUCAAGGAGAGGGUAUUUAAGGAGGGCCCUUGGGAGGAAGGAGGGGAUGCGGACAAUGUGUGGAUGAAGAUGGCGACUUGCAUCCGUAAGGUGGCCUCGGAGGAGUUUGAAGUGUCCAGGGGAAGGAGAAGCGAAGAUAAGGAUACCUGGUGGUGGAAUGAUGAUGUCCAGAAGGCGCUUAAAGAGAAGAAAGAUUGCUUCAGACGCCUAUACCUGGAUAGGAGUGCAGACAACAUAGAGAAGUACAAGAUGGCGAAGAAGGCCGCAAAGCGAGCUGUUGGUGAAGCAAGGGGUCGGGCAUAUGAGGACCUCUACCAACGGUUAGGCACGAAGGAAGGUGAAAGGGACAUCUAUAAGAUGGCUAAGAUCCGGGAGAGGAAGACGAGGGAUAUUGGCCAAGUCAAAUGCAUCAAGGACGGAGCAGGCCAACUCUUGGUGAAGGACGAAGAGAUUAAGCAUAGAUGGCGGGAGUACUUCGACAAGCUGUUCAAUGGGGAGAAUGAGAGUUCUACCAUUGAACUGAAUGACUCCUUUGAUGAGACCAGCAUGCGUUUUGUGCGGCGCAUCCAGGAGUCUGAGGUGAAGGAGGCUUUUAAAAGGAUGAAAAGAGGCAAGGCGAUGGGCCCUGAUUGUAUCCCCAUUGAGGUGUGGAAAGGUCUCGGGGACAUAGCGAUGGUAUGGCUAACCAAGCUUUUCAACCUCAUUUUUCGGGCAAACAAGAUGCCAGGAGAAUGGAGACGGAGUAUAUUAGUACCAAUCUUCAAGAACAAGGGGGAUGUUCAGAGUUGUACUAAUUACUGUGGAACUAGUAAUCGUGUACGUGCAAAUGCACGUAUUAAUGAGUACACAUAA